AGCAGCCGCGGUAAUUCCAGCUCCAAUAGCGUAUAUUAAAGUUGUUGCAGUUAAAAAGCUCGUAGUUGAAUUUCGGGACUAAUAUGUCGGUCGUACUUUGUACGUACUAGCAUUAUUGGUUUCUCCCUUCUGACGAACCACGAUGUCAUUAAUUUGGUGUCAUGGGAAAUCAGGACUGUUACUUUGAAAAAAUUAGAGUGUUUAAAGCAAGCUCGCGCUUGAAUACAUUAGCAUGGAAUAAUGAAAUAGGACGUUUGAUUCUAUUUUGUUGGUUUCUAGGAUCGACGUAAUGAUUAAUAGGGAUAGUUGGGGGCAUUAGUAUUCAAUUGUCAGAGGUGAAAUUCUUGGAUUUAUUGAAGACUAACUACUGCGAAAGCAUUUGCCAAGGAUGUUUUCAUUAAUCAAGAACGAAAGUUAGGGGAUCGAAGACGAUCAGAUACCGUCGUAGUCUUAACCAUAAACUAUGCCGACUA
Molecule: ribosomal RNA, 473 nt
Filed under: uncultured Glomus
Lineage: Eukaryota; Fungi; Glomeromycota; Glomeromycetes; Glomerales; Glomeraceae
Description: SSU rRNA
Rfam family: Eukaryotic small subunit ribosomal RNA
Source: RNAcentral